Suricata suricatta (meerkat) is the source of this 4276-nucleotide long non-coding RNA. RefSeq lists it as uncharacterized. The transcript has 4 exons. The record is from RefSeq and is a predicted model, not a curated record. NCBI's taxonomy places the organism in Eukaryota, Metazoa, Chordata, Mammalia, Carnivora, Herpestidae.
UCAUUCCACGUUCCCUACGUGCCUCCGAUGCAAGUGAGGCAGGUAAAAUGAAAUCGAUUGCGUUUUCCAGAUGAGCACGUUGAGGUGUAGUGGGGAUUUGGACCUCCCUCAGAUCGCACAGGUAAUUAGCGGUGGAGGCAGACUUAGAACAUCGAUCACCAGACUUCAGCUCCAGUGUCUUUCCUAUGACUGCCAGCAUCUGCGUGGGAGAGCCCCCACCACCCGGGACCUCCAUCUAGCAGCGGCUGUGAAGGCUCCCCAAAGGACUCAAAUGGCAGCUGAGUCCACACAGGCCAUCUCAGUCCUGGGAGACGUCCUGGGCCGUCAUCCUAUCUGUCGAGAACUUGCGUGGACGCAGGGAGCACUGGAACCCUCCGUCUCCCAAUAGGAGAGAGCCUCCGAUGGGCGCCCCCCAUGAGCAUGGGAUUCCCAGGGAAAUUCCAGCAAGGCAAGACCUCUGGCCGACCCAAUGUGCAGGAUUUUGCUCGAAGCCUCAGAGAACCCCAAUAUUGCCCUGAGCUCUUCUUCCCAGGAGCUAGGGAACUAGAUGAAAUGACCUCUAUGUAACUUUUUCUGUUACAGAACCCUGUGGAAAGGAGGCUGGAGGGAGAGGAAGCUGGCACUGGGAGGAAGUGCUCCUCCAGCUCUUUCCUGUGCUCUUUGGUGCUCCUUGGCUCCUGGAGAAAGUGGGCAAGGGAGUCUGGCAGGAAGGCUACCCAGGAGACACAUGGAGACCAACCGGCCUUGCCCGGUGGGGGGUGGGGCAGUCAAUGGCUGUGGCAUUCUGCCCUACAUACUGGGGCUUCCCCACUGGACUCCUUCGGCCAUCACUCCGGGGUUUGGCCGGGAACUCAGCAAGGACCCUGACCAGGCUAUGGCCAGAGCCCUGGAGUGGAGGGAGGAGCCCAGGAGAACACCCGGGCCGGCCCGCGGGCACGCUGCCAGACCUCUCCCGUCUAAGAGAAAGAGCUGAGAAGGUCAGCCAAGGGGCCCAGCUGCAGCGAGAGACCUUGUGCGCACAGCAGGCUGAGGACUGAGCUGGUCGGUCUUGAGUGUCAAAGGGGACGGGCCUCAACCCAGGCAGAGUCCACAGGCCCCGGGGUCACCAGACUGGGCUCCAUCGCCGGGAGGAGAGACAUUUGGACAAGAGCCAAUGAAAAGGACCAGAUGCCCAGUAGAGGCGGCAGACCCUCAAGAGACAGGGGCUCCCCGGGACCAGCAAGAUCGGAACACAGCCCAUGCACCCACCAUCCAGCCCCACAUGCUCCGGCUCAGAGGAAAGUGGCACGGCCACCAGCUCUGUGGUUUCCUGUCCCCGGAGAGAGGAAGACGCGAGGGAGCACAUCUUCCCGUCUCCUCCUCGGUCUCUUCCAGGGUUUGCUUUGUGUGCCUGCUCCCUUUCCUUCUUGUUUCCCUCAACCACCCUCCGACUGACUUCUGGUGGUUGGACAACUUUCCUGCCGAGUCGCCAUAGCAAAGGACCGCGCACUGGCAGGUUUAACACAAAUGGACUUCCUGGCGGUCCUGGAGGCCAGAAGUCCAAAAUCAAGGUAUCCGUGGGACUGCACUCCCUCUGAAGUCUGGGGCAUGGGGUGGGCGGAUUCCUCCUCAGGUUUCCCAGCUUUGGUGGCCGCCAGCAGGGCCUUGCCAGUCCUCGGCUGGUGGCUGCGUCACGCCCGGCCCUGCCUCCGUCUUCGCCCGGCCUUCUUCUCUGUGUGUCUGUGUCCAAACCUCCUCUUCUAAGGACACCAGUCAUUGGAUCGGGGCCCAAACUCAUCCAGGAUGACCUCAUCGUAACUAAUUACAUCUGCAAAGACCCGAUUUCCGAAUUAGGCCACAGGCACAAGUUCCACGUGGACAUGAAUUUUGUAGACGUGACUCAAGCCAGUUUUGGGGACUUCGUUCCGCAGGAUCUCGGAUUAAGAACGUGGUGUUUUGUUUUGUUUUUUUUUCCUUGAAUCUUUCAGAAGAGCCUGAGAAAGGUGUCCUUCUUUGCUCUUGGGGCACAGGGACGAGUGGAACGUCCCAGUAGGCUCUCUUAAGUCCACCUUGAGCAGAGGACAGGCUGAAGGGGUGCCUGGGGAUGAAGCCCAGUAGGGGGCCUAGCCAAGGGCUGCAUGGCCAAGGGCAGUGCCUCUCAGGGAGGGGGCGUGCGGCGGAGCCAGCCUGGAGCGGCUGAGUCCCCCACAGACGUUGCCUCAUUAACUGCAGAGAUGCUUCCUGCAUUUCUCUGGUGAAGAGCUCAGUCUUAGCAACCUCAGAUGACCCCUCACGCAAGAAAGAGCAUCCUCUAGAAAGCUUAUCCGAGCUUCCAUGGGCAAGGAGGGGAGAGGAGAGAGCCCCAGGGCCAGGCGUGGGAAGUCUGGCCAGUACCCCAGCUCCUUGCCAGUGUUACCCAGGGAAAGGUCCAGGGGAUGCCCGACAGCCAGCUCUUUGCAGAGCCCUGGGUUCCUGACAGUGAGGUGGCCACGGGCACACAGCAACCUCCAUCCCUCAGAUGUCCCCAUUGAAUCCAAACACCAGGCUGGGGACAGCUGGGGAGGGGACAUGGCCUUUCAUCUGCAUCUUCCUUGUGGUCAGAGAGGAAGCGGGACAGGGGGAGCCUCCAGGUGCCCCUUGAGAGCUGAGGGCCAGUUCUCAGGUCCUCCUCGGCCCUCCUCAACCAGUGCCCGCAGCCCCUUCUCUCUGCCCACACUGCCCUUCGCCUGCAGCCGAGGUCUCUGGGCAGACCUCUGGCUCUGACAGGCUCUCUGGAGCACCUGGGUCUGACUUCUAGAACCUGGGAAAGGAGAGAGGGAGGAUGCCAAGAAGGCACGAGGUUGUGCUCCUACCUGAACCACAUCACAGAAAGGGGACCGCCCUGCCCCAGCGUACCCGCAGCUGCUGUUCCCGGGACAGGAAGUCAGCUGAGUGCCGGGCAGGCGGCAGCGGGGGAGGGGCUCUGGCACCUGGGCAGUCAGUGGAGGGCCAUCUGUCCCCUCCCCCCGCCCCUCCCCCCACCCAGGGCACCAGUUCCCACACUCCGGAGGCCAGACGGAGUAGGGAUUAUUAGGAGGUGAAACUUUCUCCUGGUUCACUUUUGCCCCCUCGCAGCCAGGAGACCUGAGCAGGUCAUUAACCUGCUUCCAUCUGUGCAAUGGGGAUGUUAACCGUCUCCGCUUCCUCGGGCUGCUGUGAUCGUUCAGUAAGUGAAAACCCACGUUGCCCAGCUCACAGUCAGCACUGGCUGCCCCGAUGCUCCUGAGAAAGGGCUGAGCCCCUGGACAGACUGGAUUUCAUACAAACAUUCUGGCACUUCUGCAGCGGCCUGGCCUGCUUAGGGGAGGAAGGAUGACCUUCCAGGCAGCCCCUGCCCUGGUCUACUAACUCUCCCUGGGAAGCCAGUGACACCCUCCCUCCCUUCUCACACUGGGUGAGCUCUCCCUCCACCAGGGCCCCUCUCUGGCCGGCCUGCCCAACCACAGGGCAAUCAGGCUUUCGGCCAGGCAGUUACAGUAAGUCAGGCCCGUCCUUCCUCGCAUGGGGUACCACCGCGCCCUGGUCCAGAGCCUCGCUUCCCAUGGAGGAGGGGAGAAGGCGAUGGAGAGGCCCUUCCUUGCCAGGUGCGCUGGGCUGGCUCUUAACCCCCACCCCCAGAACAUGCUGGUCUUUCCCAGUGAUUUCCAGCAGACCCGAGCUGCAAAGGGCAGCUGAAACAGCAAUGAUGUUCAGAAGGAGAGGCUGACUCACUCCAGCCAGGCUGCGCCCUCCGUGAAUAUUUUUGGACCUCAGCCUGGGAUUCCUGCAGGUUUGGACCACAAGUUGGACCAUCUUCUUGUAUGAGGCACGUUCCAAGGGCAGAUAUGAGUAAUCGCUGCUUAAUAGACGAGGAAACUGAGGCUGGGAGCCCGUGAGAGGCGGCUGGAUGAGAGGUGGAGCCUGCUGGGCAGAAAGGGAGACUCCGUGCGCCGGGGAGAGACCGCACCAGCUCUCAGACCGUGCAUUCCUCAGCCCUUCCAUCAGCUAGGUCGGCCCCCGACGGGCUUCCCCGAAGGCUGCGAGGUCAGCGUCCCACCCCACUGCCUCGGGGUCCGGCGCCGCGCCCCCUCCCCCGACGGACCCUCUAGGGUGUGCGCCCUCCGCCCACGCCCCUGCCCCACCUCCCCAGACACCGCGUCUGGGAUUCCGGCCCUGUCCCAAGUCCCCGGUCCGCUACACGGCCCCUGCCCCAUCCGGACGUCCGCGCCCGGGGAUCCCGGCCUGCGCCCCUCUCCCCGGGCCCCCGCCGUCCCCCAGG